CAACAAUGAUGUAGUCAUAUGCCUCAUGCUGUAUUCUGGAGAAACUGCUUGCCUUCAGUAGGGGAGGGAGAUCCAAUGUGGUAAAAUGAUUUCUUCCUGCAAAUACAAGUAUUCAUGUUUUAUCUGAAGCUACCCAGUUUCAGGUUUCUUCUGAAUAUUCACUACAGGCCGAGAUUAUAAGACAACAAUCAGGAGAAGCUGUGGUCGAAAUACAUCCACAGCACGGCACAGGACAGCCCAGAGGGUGCAAAUAUUACCUGUAUCUGUCUGCAUUGCAGCUUGCAAUAAUGUUUAAGUGAGAUGUUCAGGAUGCAAUUUGUGAUUCGUCAGAAAACUGAUUUCCCCAUUGUCCUCUCAGCUAGGUUGUCCAUCACUGAAUGAAGCAACUCAGUUAGGAGGUGGUGACUCCGAUCCCCCCCCUCCCCCAAUGAAAUGGACCGUCUACUCAGAGCUGAUGGCUGCAUCCUAACCUCCUUCACAAAUGCACGAGUUAGGGGGGGAGGCUUGAUCGAUGUUGAUGUCAGUGAGCUCUAGGGAGCUAGCACCUAGCAGACAGCCUGAGAAGACACUAAUCAUGAAGUACUCACUCGAUGUGGUUGAGCAGGGCCGGCGUUCAUUGAUGGUAACAGCCUCUCCCAGCAAGCCAUUUAAGCCACACAGUGGAAUUUGAGAUAGCAUUGGUGGUUAUGUGGCCAGGGACCUGAUCAUCCAAGAUUCCAGAACAGUGGUGGAUGCUUCUGCAGCUCUGUGUACUACCAGUUCUCAUGGAGGCUUUUGUGAAUCAGAGCUGGGUCCAAGAACUGAUGAAUUUUACUCCAGCAACUACCCAGUGUGCCCUCAUUGACUGUCUUGUUUUCUUCAGACGUACUGUCUGUGGCUAUGGAAGGACCACUGUGUUCAUUCAUUCAAUCUUUCUGUGAAUGGAAGAAAGAGGAGAGUACGUUUUUGUCCGCUGUACAACUGCCCAGCUACAGCAAGACAGCCUACGAUGUGCAGUGAGCCAGCGACGAGCGUACCUUCAAAGGGACAUCUGGUCGUAGCCGUUGGUACUGGAUCUGGUGUACUUGGUAUUAUAUUGGAUGCGACAAGGUUGUCAUGCUGUGUGAUGAUAUUUGGCAGCUACAAAACAUUGCAAUAUCCUGCAGGGAACGCCAGCACCUCUGCACCUGCCUAUCAUGAAUCAGAAUCAUUAAUUCAAACAAGAUCGAUAUGAUUCUUUCCUAGAAUGAUCAUGAAUACUGUGCUAUUGACAACUGAGAGUCUGGUACUGAUGCUUUUGUACUAAUCACUAUUAUAAGUAUUAGUUCCCAUUUUCCAGGGAGUGCUCAAUAUUAACACCAACUUUUGGUAUCUACUUGAUAGGAAGUAGUAGCAUAGAGCAUCCUCAGAAAAAGAGAGGUUUCUAUAAACUUUUUUUUCCUUUUAACUUGAAAUUUCAAAAAGAGAAGGCUGGGAAGCCUUUUAUGUUGUCUUCU
This is a long non-coding RNA of Oryza sativa Japonica Group (Japanese rice), 1475 nucleotides long. RefSeq lists it as uncharacterized. The record is from RefSeq and is a predicted model, not a curated record. Lineage: Eukaryota; Viridiplantae; Streptophyta; Magnoliopsida; Poales; Poaceae.